CGCCAGCCAAGGUAAGGGGAAGGAGAACUCUCCAGCCGGAAGCCUUGUGCUGGCUGGGCGAGGAAUCUGGAGCGGCGAGGUUGCCUGUGUGUCUGGCGGCUUGGGAAGGAGGGUGGCCUCGAUACAGUGGGCAAGCAUGGAAAAGAUGGGGAAACUGAGGCCCAGAGAGACAAGAGACCUGAGAGUCCCCGCUGAGACCUGAAGCCUGGCCUCAUUCCCAGGCCAGCCGGUGCCUCGGGACUUUCCAACCCGCUGGCUCUCCCUCCACAGCCCCCCACCCCCCACAUCACCACGGCUCUCUGCACCUCAAAGGCUCAUGGGGCCCAGAAGUUCUACCAAUACCCUCAAACCUCUUCUUCCACAGCCAGAGCCCGCCAGGGGGCUCCCCAUCCCCAAGCUGCCCGCUCUCCCUCUACCUUCCAUGUGGACUCCGGGAUCCUCCGGGAGAAACUGAAGCAGCCCUUCUUAAGCCAGGUGUCCGAGUCCCGGGACGGGACCCUCCGCUCCCGCCGUCUCUUGGCGACGCCGGGCACUGGAGCACACAGUUUGGGCCACCGGCAACCCCGAGCCUCCCUGCGGUUGGGGCCACCGCUCCAGGAUGCCAAGGAUCCUGCGCUCUGCCCCGCCCCCGCCGGGCCCCGCCCCCGCGCUUGGUCCCGCCCACCUGUAGGGCAGCCACGCCCCCUGUGUCUCAUCCCACUGGGUCUGCCUCCCUGGCUGCCACACCUCCGCUGAGAUUGGCUGGGCUGCCUGCAGGGCUGGACCACCCUGGCUGCUUGACUCAGGCCCUGUGUAUCCUGGCUUCUGGGUCGCCUUUCAACCGGAGGGAACCAGAGAAUGCCCCUCCUAACACGCCCCCCCCACACACGCGCGCGCGCGCGCACACAGUGACAUCCUGUGGAAUGAGAGCCGGGAAACGCAGCGGCAGAAUACACCGCGCGCUUGGAGAGGGGUCCGUGAGUCCACAGCCGUCUAAAGCCUUAAUAUUGUGGGGUCCGAGAGCAGCGCUUUGGGGGUGUGAUGGGUUACACGUCAGGUGUGUCUUUAUUUUUCCAUGUUUCUUUCGAUUCUGCUUUCCGAGUUGAGGCUCUCAGUCUCCUACCCAUGGGGCUGGAACACUUCCUGCCGGUGACUUCUUACUGUCCCAAGCAAGUGACGCUAGUUUUCCAUUCAAGGCAUUAAUAAAAAUGUUCCAUUUAAAAA
Molecule: long non-coding RNA, 1203 nt
Organism: Phyllostomus hastatus (greater spear-nosed bat)
Lineage: Eukaryota; Metazoa; Chordata; Mammalia; Chiroptera; Phyllostomidae
Exons: 2
Source: RefSeq, a predicted model, not a curated record